GCUUCUUUAGCUCAGUUGGGAGAGCAGCUCACUUGUAAUGAGCAGGUCGUCCGUUCGAAUCGGACAAGGAGCACCA
Molecule: transfer RNA, 76 nt
Filed under: Vibrio phage Ceto
Lineage: Duplodnaviria; Heunggongvirae; Uroviricota; Caudoviricetes; Demerecviridae
Also listed under: 3 other names
Description: tRNA-Thr
Rfam family: tRNA
About the family: Transfer RNA (tRNA) molecules are approximately 80 nucleotides in length. Their secondary structure includes four short double-helical elements and three loops (D, anti-codon, and T loops). Further hydrogen bonds mediate the characteristic L-shaped molecular structure. tRNAs have two regions of fundamental functional importance: the anti-codon, which is responsible for specific mRNA codon recognition, and the 3' end, to which the tRNAs corresponding amino acid is attached (by aminoacyl-tRNA synthetases). tRNAs cope with the degeneracy of the genetic code in two manners: having more than one tRNA (with a specific anti-codon) for a particular amino acid; and 'wobble' base-pairing, i.e. permitting non-standard base-pairing at the 3rd anti-codon position.
Source: RNAcentral